AGCCGGAAUCGCUAGUAAUCGCGGAUCAGAAUGCCGCGGUGAAUACGUUCCCGGGCCUUGUACACACCGCCCGUCACACCAUGAGAGUCGGGGACACCCGAAGCCUGUAGCGUAACCGCGAGGGGUGCGCAGUCGAAGGUGGAUUCGAUGAUUGGGGUGAAGUCGUAACAAGGUACC
This 177-nucleotide ribosomal RNA is filed under the name uncultured bacterium. RNAcentral describes it as "partial 16S ribosomal RNA". It matches the Rfam family "Bacterial small subunit ribosomal RNA", at positions 1324 to 1500 of the family's 1533-position model. The record is from RNAcentral.